Molecule: long non-coding RNA, 560 nt
Filed under: Coffea arabica (coffee)
Lineage: Eukaryota; Viridiplantae; Streptophyta; Magnoliopsida; Gentianales; Rubiaceae
Description: long non-coding RNA (CARA_LNC005253)
Source: RNAcentral
AAUCCACAUAGACAGCCAUUAUAUAAACAGUAAAAUCUCUCAAGAGAUGACUAACAGGUUACCCAGAAUUGUUUGUCAAACUAAUAAAUAAAUCACAACAACUGAGCCCUUUUGAUUCAUGAUAUGAAACUUCCACAGCCUUAUAAUCCUCUCUCGAGGGAUCAAAGUAAAACCCUACAAAAGGGCUGAACUGAUGUAAGGCAGGGCUGGAGAGAUACAUGGAAGAUGGUUCUUGUAUGCAGCAAUAUUGCUUCCAAAAACAUAAAACUUGAUUGGAUGAUCCAACCAUCUGAAUCCAUGUGCUUUUCGGCCAGCUUUAAUCGCUGGGCUGAACUUGUAAUAUGCAACUUUUCAAACAUGACAAGUUUUUAAGGACUCCUGGUAGACUUGUGGUGUUGCCGAUGAGAUUGGACGAAGCCAUGACUUGAGAGAUGAGGCCAUGGCACAAUUUACAUACACGACACAAAUCGAACGAGAGAUUUAACUGGUAAUCAACAGAAACUUCACAGAUGAUAACGUCCGGCAAGAAAGCGUCUGAAUUUUCUGCAAACUCCAUCACC